RNAcentral lists this ribosomal RNA (581 nucleotides) under uncultured bacterium. Its description in RNAcentral is "bacterial SSU rRNA". It matches the Rfam family "Bacterial small subunit ribosomal RNA", at positions 102 to 669 of the family's 1533-position model. The record is from RNAcentral.
ACGGGUGAGUAACACGUGGGCAACCUGCCCUUGAGACUGGGAUAACUUCGGGAAACCGGAGCUAAUACCGGAUAAUAUAAGGAACCUCCUGGUUCCUUGUUGAAAGAUGGUUUCGGCUAUCACUUAAGGAUGGGUCCGCGGCGCAUUAGCUAGUUGGUGAGGUAACGGCUCACCAAGGCGACGAUGCGUAGCCGACCUGAGAGGGUGAUCGGCCACACUGGGACUGAGACACGGCCCAGACUCCUACGGGAGGCAGCAGUAGGGAAUCUUCCACAAUGGACGAAAGUCUGAUGGAGCAACGCCGCGUGAGUGAUGAAGGCCUUCGGGUCGUAAAGCUCUGUUGUUAGGGAAGAACAAGUGCGAGAGUAACUGCUCGCACCUUGACGGUACCUAACCAGAAAGCCACGGCUAACUACGUGCCAGCAGCCGCGGUAAUACGUAGGUGGCAAGCGUUAUCCGGAAUUAUUGGGCGUAAAGCGCGCGCAGGUGGUUUCUUAAGUCUGAUGUGAAAGCCCACGGCUCAACCGUGGAGGGUCAUUGGAAACUGGGGAACUUGAGUGCAGAAGAGGAAAGUGGAAUUC